CCUACGGGAGGCAGCAGUGAGGAAUAUUGGUCAAUGGACGAGAGUCUGAACCAGCCAAGUAGCGUGAAGGAUGACUGCCCUAUGGGUUGUAAACUUCUUUUAUAAAGGAAUAAAACGAGGCACGUGUGCCUUUUUGCAUGUACUUUAUGAAUAAGGAUCGGCUAACUCCGUGCCAGCAGCCGCGGUAAUACGGAGGAUCCGAGCGUUAUCCGGAUUUAUUGGGUUUAAAGGGUGCGUAGAUGGGUUGUUAAGUCAGUUGUGAAAGUUUGGGGCUCAACCGUAAAAUUGCAAUUGAUACUGGCAGUCUUGAGUACAGUUGAGGUAGGCGGAAUUCGUGGUGUAGCGGUGAAAUGCUUAGAUAUCACGAAGAACCCCGAUUGCGAAGGCAGCUUACCAAACUGUGACUGACAUUGAUGCACGAAAGUGUGGGUAUCAAACAGGAUUAGAUACCCUAGUAGUC
This 460-nucleotide ribosomal RNA is filed under the name uncultured bacterium. RNAcentral's name for it is "partial 16S ribosomal RNA". It matches the Rfam family "Bacterial small subunit ribosomal RNA", at positions 338 to 795 of the family's 1533-position model. The record is from RNAcentral.